AUUGAACGCUGGCGGCAGGCCUAACACAUGCAAGUCGAACGGUAACAGGAAACAGCUUGCUGUUUCGCUGACGAGUGGCGGACGGGUGAGUAAUGUCUGGGAAACUGCCUGAUGGAGGGGGAUAACUACUGGAAACGGUAGCUAAUACCGCAUAACGUCGCAAGACCAAAGAGGGGGAACAUCGGGCCUCUUGCCACCGGAUGUGCCCAGAUGGGAGUAGCUAGUAGGUGGGGUAACGGCUCACCUAGGCGACGAUCCCUAGCUGGUCUGAGAGGAUGACCAGCCACACUGGAACUGAGACACGGUCCAGACUCCUACGGGAGGCAGCAGUGGGGAAUAUUGCACAAUGGGCGCAAGCCUGAUGCAGCCAUGCCGCGUGUAUGAAGAAGGCCUUCGGGUUGUAAAGUACUUUCAGCGGGGAGGAAGGGAGUAAAGUCAAUACCUUUGCUCACUGACGUUACCCGCAGAAGAAGCACCGGCUAACUCCGUGCCAGCAGCCGCGGUAA
RNAcentral lists this ribosomal RNA (506 nucleotides) under uncultured bacterium. RNAcentral describes it as "partial 16S ribosomal RNA". It matches the Rfam family "Bacterial small subunit ribosomal RNA", at positions 30 to 523 of the family's 1533-position model. The record is from RNAcentral.